RNAcentral lists this ribosomal RNA (484 nucleotides) under uncultured bacterium. Its description in RNAcentral is "partial 16S ribosomal RNA". It matches the Rfam family "Bacterial small subunit ribosomal RNA", at positions 30 to 507 of the family's 1533-position model. The record is from RNAcentral.
AUUGAACGCUGGCGGCAGGCCUAACACAUGCAAGUCGAGCGGAUGAAGGGAGCUUGCUCCUGGAUUCAGCGGCGGACGGGUGAGUAAUGCCUAGGAAUCUGCCUGGUAGUGGGGGAUAACGUCCGGAGACGGGCGCUAAUACCGCAUACGUCCUGAGGGAGAAAGUGGGGGAUCUUCGGACCUCACGCUAUCGGAUGAGCCUAGGUCGGAUUAGCUAGUUGGUGGGGUAAAGGCCUACCAAGGCGACGAUCCGUAACUGGUCUGAGAGGAUGAUCAGUCACACUGGAACUGAGACACGGUCCAGACUCCUACGGGAGGCAGCAGUGGGGAAUAUUGGACAAUGGGCGAAAGCCUGAUCCAGCCAUGCCGCGUGUGUGAAGAAGGUCUUCGGAUUGUAAAGCACUUUAAGUUGGGAGGAAGGGCAGUAAGUUAAUACCUUGCUGUUUUGACGUUACCAACAGAAUAAGCACCGGCUAACUUCGUG